UAGUCAUAUGCUUGUCUCAAAGAUUAAGCCAUGCAUGUCUAAGCACAAGCCGAUUAAUGGUGAAGCCGCGAAUGGCUCAUUACAACAGCCAUAGUUUCUUAGAUCUUACUUUUCUACUUGGAUAACUGUGGUAAUUCUAGAGCUAAUACACGCAAACAAGCUCAGACCUUACGGAAUGAGCGCAUUUAUUAGAACAAAAACCAAUCGGACUUUCGGGUCCGUCAUUUGGUGAAUCUGAAUAACUUUGCUGAUCGCACGGUCAUCGUACCGGCGACAUAUCUUUCAAAUGUCUGCCUUAUCAACUUUCGAUGGUAGUUUAUGCGCCUACCAUGGUUGUAACGGGUAACGGAGAAUAAGGGUUCGACUCCGGAGAGGGAGCCUGAGAAACGGCUACCACAUCCAAGGAAGGCAGCAGGCACGCAAAUUACCCACUCCCGGCACGGGGAGGUAGUGACGAAAAAUAACGAGACGGCUCGCUAUGCGGUCCGUCAUCGGAAUGGGUACAAUUUAAAUCCUUUAACGAGGAUCUAUU
RNAcentral lists this ribosomal RNA (532 nucleotides) under uncultured eukaryote. RNAcentral's name for it is "SSU rRNA". It matches the Rfam family "Eukaryotic small subunit ribosomal RNA", at positions 21 to 549 of the family's 1831-position model. The record is from RNAcentral.